Molecule: non-coding RNA, 181 nt
Organism: Malus domestica (apple)
Lineage: Eukaryota; Viridiplantae; Streptophyta; Magnoliopsida; Rosales; Rosaceae
Source: RefSeq, marked provisional
AUGUAUGUAUAUGUAUUAAAAUGUUCUUUUGCCAGCCAAUGUGGCUUGUUAUAUUGUCAGAUUGUCAAUCUGAACCUUUAAUUACCAUUAAUUUACGUAAUUAAUGGUUCAGAUUGACAGUCUGACAAUAUAACGUGCCAAACUGUUUGGCAAUUGAGCAUUUUCAUACAUAUAUAUAUAU